CAUUUAGAGCAGCCAGCGUGAAGAGCUGUGUAUGGAUAACAUUAUUACUCACCGAAGCGCCUAAGCACAGGGUUGCCCCAGUGACUCAGAAGACACAUGGACGGGGCAGGUGAACUGGGCGCAGGGGACUUACUUACCCGCCAGCAGAGGGGGUGUGAGAUCUCAGGUCAUUUGAACCAAGGAGAGGGUGAGCAAGACAGCAGAGGCUGCAAGAUCAAGGAGGAUGCUGAAGGUGGUGGUCCUGCAUCUUACGCUCACGUUUUCCAGGAGGUAAUGGGCUCCACCUGGAGGCCAGGAGGAGGAGGUGCUGACCAUCUCAUCACUGCCGGCUCCUCAUCCCAGGAAGGACCUUGGUGUAGAUCUGCUCCCCCAUGUUCUUCUCUCUCUCUCUCUCUCUCUCUCUCUCUCUCUCUCUCUCUCUCCCUCUCCCUCUCUCUCCUCUCUUUCUCUCUCUCGUUCAAAUAAUUCAAAAGUGGAAAAUGUCCAAACUCCAUUCUUCUUUCUGUUGAUUUUCAUGAGGCUAAAUUCAAAGGCGUAUUGGUCUUCCAUUUCAAACUGCCGUCUUCAGAUCCAUCCCACCCUUCACAGAAAGAAGAGACAGCAAUGCUGUUGAGUUCCCUAAUGUGUAUGCAGUGCAUCAACUAUGUCUUACUAAUUCUGGAGACAAUAAACUAGAACAAUCUGCCUUUGUUCUUUUGUAUAAAGCCAUGAAAUUAAAAGAGUAUGACUUUGUAAAA
Molecule: long non-coding RNA, 737 nt
Organism: Myotis myotis
Lineage: Eukaryota; Metazoa; Chordata; Mammalia; Chiroptera; Vespertilionidae
Exons: 2
Source: RefSeq, a predicted model, not a curated record